Molecule: ribosomal RNA, 585 nt
Filed under: Triticum aestivum (bread wheat)
Lineage: Eukaryota; Viridiplantae; Streptophyta; Magnoliopsida; Poales; Poaceae
Description: partial small subunit ribosomal RNA
Source: RNAcentral
AUGGGUAGAACCAAUGUCAACCCUAUAUGGGGUAAUAUUUGGAGACUAUCCUGCCCAGCAAAAAUUAAAAUUUUCAUAUGGCGUAUACUGCAUGGUACCUUCCCAUGCCGAGUUACACUUGCUAACAGACAUAUAAAAGUUUCACCCAUUUGUCCUUCUUGCUCAAAUGGACCGGAGGAUACAAAACACGUCUUGUUUCAGUGUCAGAAGGCAAAAGAAGUUUGGGGAAAAUUAGGUCUACAAGAGGUGAUCCAUAAAGCCUGUAUUGUUGACCACGCGGGAGAGGCGGUGCUAUAAUUCUUACUCCUUAUGAAAGAUCAAGAAUUAAACAUUAAGGGCAUCCAGAAUGCACAUGAGUUAAUAGCUAUUACAGCUUGGUAUCUAUGGUGGGAUAGACGUCAACUGGUCCAUGAAGGAAAGUUACAGGAUGCAAAUCAAACUUCAAUGGGGGCUCGUGCUAUAACGGCAAACUAUGUCAAUGCAUACUCCCCUAAGGCAACUCAUAAAAUAGGGGGAUGGAGUAUCCCUCCUAGAGGAUUUGUCAAGCUGAAUUUUGAUGUCGUUUUCGAGCAUGAUCUCCUUUGA